GGGCCCGCACAAGCAGCGGAGCGUGUGGUUUAAUUCGAGGCUACACGAAGAACCUUACCUGGGCUUGACAUGACACUAGUAGGGAAGUGAAAGCGGACCGACCCGCAAGGGAGGUGUCACAGGUGCUGCAUGGCUGUCGUCAGCUCGUGCCGUGAGGUGUUAGGUUAAGUCCUGUAACGAGCGCAACCCCCGGAGCCAGUUACACGAUGUCUGGCUCGACUGCCCGUGACAAGCGGGAGGAAGGUGGGGAUGACGUCAAGUCAGCAUGGCCUUUAUGUCCAGGGCUACACACACGCUACAAUGGCCGGUACAAUGGGUCGCCAAGCCGCAAGGCGGAGCAAAUCCUAUCAAAGCCGGUCACAGUUCGGAUUGUGGGCUGCAACCCGCCCACAUGAAGUUGGAGUUGCUAGUAACCGCGCGUCAGCCAUAGUGCGGUGAAUACGUUCCCGGGCCUU
This 455-nucleotide ribosomal RNA is filed under the name uncultured bacterium. Its description in RNAcentral is "bacterial SSU rRNA". It matches the Rfam family "Bacterial small subunit ribosomal RNA", at positions 917 to 1382 of the family's 1533-position model. The record is from RNAcentral.